GCCUUCGGGUUGUAAACCUCUUCAGUAGGGAAGAAGCCUUCGGGUGACGGUACCUGCAGAAGAAGUACCGGCUAACUACGUGCCAGCAGCCGCGGUAAUACGUAGGGUACAAGCGUUGUCCGGAAUUAUUGGGCGUAAAGAGCUCGUAGGCGGUCCGUCGCGUCUGCUGUGGAAUCGCAAGGCUCAACCUUGCGCGUGCAGUGGGUACGGGCGGACUAGAGUGCAGUAGGGGAGUCUGGAACUCCUGGUGUAGCGGUGAAAUGCGCAGAUAUCAGGAGGAACACCGGUGGCGAAGGCGGGACUCUGGGCUGUUACUGACGCUGAGGAGCGAAAGCAUGGGGAGCGAACAGGAUUAGAUACCCUGGUAGUCCAUGCCGUAAACGUUGGGCACUAGGUGUGGGGCUCAUUCCACGAGUUCCGCGCCGCAGCUAACGCAUUAAGUGCCCCGCCUGGGGAGUACGGCCGCAAGGCUAAAACUCAAAGGAAUUGACGGGGGCCCGCACAAGCGGCGGAGCAUGCGGAUUAAUUCGAUGCAACGCGAAGAACCUUACCAAGGCUUGACAUACACCGGAAUGGGCCAGAGAUGGUUCAGCCCUUUGGGCUGGUGUACAGGUGGUGCAUGGUUGUCGUCAGCUCGUGUCGUGAGAUGUUGGGUUAAGUCCCGCAACGAGCGCAACCCUCGUUCUAUGUUGCCAGCACGUGAUGGUGGGAACUCAUAGGAGACUGCCGGGGUCAACUCGGAGGAAGGUGGGGAUGACGUCAAAUCAUCAUGCCCUUUAUGUCUUGGGCUUCACGCAUGCUACAAUGGUUGGUACAAAGGGUGGCGAGACCGCGAGGUGGAGCGAAUCCCAGAAAGCCGAUCUCAGUUCGGAUCGUAGUCUGCAACUCGACUACGUGAAGUCGGAGUCGCUAGUAAUCGCAGAUCAGCAC
This 930-nucleotide ribosomal RNA is filed under the name uncultured bacterium. RNAcentral's name for it is "bacterial SSU rRNA". It matches the Rfam family "Bacterial small subunit ribosomal RNA", at positions 414 to 1355 of the family's 1533-position model. The record is from RNAcentral.